This 19-nucleotide microRNA is filed under the name Solanum tuberosum (potato). RNAcentral describes it as "stu-miR169f-3p". Its record names the gene stu-miR169f-3p. Lineage: Eukaryota; Viridiplantae; Streptophyta; Magnoliopsida; Solanales; Solanaceae. The record is from miRBase by way of RNAcentral.
GCAAGCAUCCUUGGCGACU